UGAGUAACCUGCCCUUCACUCUGGGAUAACUCCGGGAAACCGGGGCUAAUACUGGAUACUCCGGCUGGAUCGCAUGGUCCGGCCGGGAAAGGUCCGCCGGAGAGGGAUGGGCCCGCGGCCUAUCAGCUUGUUGGUGGGGUAACGGCUCACCAAGGCGUCGACGGCUAGCUGGUCUGAGAGGACGACCAGCCACACUGGGACUGAGACACGGCCCAGACUCCUACGGGAGCA
This 231-nucleotide ribosomal RNA is filed under the name uncultured bacterium. Its description in RNAcentral is "partial 16S ribosomal RNA". It matches the Rfam family "Bacterial small subunit ribosomal RNA", at positions 118 to 347 of the family's 1533-position model. The record is from RNAcentral.